UGACUCUUAUCUUUACCCUGCCUUACGCCUGACCCUAACAUUUGGUGCCGAAACCCGGGGGAGGUAGUAGCUCGCCUCCCUUGUCUGAGCUCCCUCCUCGCCAAGCCAGACGCCAACCACCCUACUCCCAAGCACCUACAGGAGCCGGAGAUGACAGACUCACAACACCCCCACGUGGUGAGGCUUCACCCUGAUUGGACUCUGCCUUCCAACUGCUGGAGAUGGAGGAUGAUGACUGACGAGGCCCAGACUCAGUAACUCCGGUGACCCACACCAAGCCCAGGGUAAAACUCCAGGUAGCGGUUUCCCAGGUUGCAUUUCACCAGAUGGUGGUCUGGCCAUAUUCCCGCAUUCCAACCUCAGACCCCACAUACCAUAACGUCGCCCUUACACCCACAGGAAGCAGCCAGAUCAGAUCCGUCGCCCAUUAUCACCAAUAAGAGAUUGGAAUGUUAGGAUGUCCUUGGAACCACAGUAGAGGGGAUGGCCAUCUUGCCAGCGUAACCCAACGAAAAGCCCCUAGUAGUGUGCCAGAACGAAUUGGAGGUCAACCAAUCACUGAGUGACAGCACGACCUGACGUGAAAAAGGCCUGCCCAGACCUAAACCCGGAACCGCUGCAGCUUAAAAACCCCACCCCACCACACCUGGGCUCGACUUCCCUGACUCCUCUGUCUCUCUCUCUCUCCCUGAGUCAUGGAACCUCAUCCGAGACCUUAGUUCCCAAUAAAGCCUUUGACUGCUAAAAUUUUUUAGCCUCUGACUCUUAUCUUUACCCUGCCUUACGCCUG
Long non-coding RNA from Neofelis nebulosa (Clouded leopard), 790 nucleotides. RefSeq lists it as uncharacterized. NCBI's taxonomy places the organism in Eukaryota, Metazoa, Chordata, Mammalia, Carnivora, Felidae. The record is from RefSeq and is a predicted model, not a curated record. The transcript has 3 exons.